AACGAACGCUGGCGGCGUGCCUAACACAUGCAAGUCGAACGAGAAAGGGGGCUUCGGCCCCCGAGUACAGUGGCGCACGGGUGAGUAACGCGUAGACAACCUGCCUUGGGGUUCGGGACAACCUUUUGAAAAAAGGGCUAAUACCGGAUAACAACAGCGUCCGCAUGGAUGCUGUUUGAAAGAUUUAUCGCCCCAAGAGGGGUCUGCGAGACAUUAGCUUGUUGGUGAGGUAACGGCUCACCAAGGCCGCGAUGUCUAGCGGGUCUGAGAGGAUGAUCCGCCACACUGGAACUGAGACACGGUCCAGACUCCUACGGGAGGCAGCAGUGGGGAAUUUUGCGCAAUGGGCGAAAGCCUGACGCAGCAACGCCGCGUGGGUGAAGAAGGCCCUUGGGUCGUAAAGCCCUUUUCUGAGGGAAGAGGAUGACGGUACCUCAGGAAUAAGCACCGGCUAACUCCGUGCCAGCAGCCGCGGUAAUACGGAGGGUGCAAGCGUUGUUCGGAUUUACUGGGCGUAAAGGGCGUGUAGGCGGAUGCGCAAGCUGGGGGUGAAAGGCCAGGGCUCAACCCUGGAUUGUCUCUCAGAACUGCGCGUCUAGAGAAAGUCAGAGGCAGGUGGAAUUCCAGGUGUAGAGGUGAAAUUCGUAGAGAUCUGGAGGAACAUCGGCGGCGAAGGCGGCCUGCUGGGGCCUUUCUGACGCUGAGGCGCGAAAGCGUGGGUAGCAAACAGGAUUAGAUACCCUGGUAGUCCACGCUGUAAACGAUGAGCACUCGAUGUGCGGGGUACGACCCCUCGUGUGUCACAGCUAACGCAAUAAGUGCUCCGCCUGGGGAUUACGGUCGCAAGACUAAAACUCAAAGGAAUUGACGG
RNAcentral lists this ribosomal RNA (871 nucleotides) under uncultured delta proteobacterium. Its description in RNAcentral is "bacterial SSU rRNA". It matches the Rfam family "Bacterial small subunit ribosomal RNA", at positions 28 to 916 of the family's 1533-position model. Lineage: Bacteria; Deltaproteobacteria. The record is from RNAcentral.